RNAcentral lists this ribosomal RNA (484 nucleotides) under uncultured bacterium. Its description in RNAcentral is "partial 16S ribosomal RNA". It matches the Rfam family "Bacterial small subunit ribosomal RNA", at positions 28 to 507 of the family's 1533-position model. The record is from RNAcentral.
GUUGAACGCUGGCGGCAGGCCUAACACAUGCAAGUCGAGCGGAUGAAGGGAGCUUGCUCCUGGAUUCAGCGGCGGACGGGUGAGUAAUGCCUAGGAAUCUGCCUGGUAGUGGGGGAUAACGUCCGGAAACGGGCGCUAAUACCGCAUACGUCCUGAGGGAGAAAGUGGGGGAUCUUCGGACCUCACGCUAUCAGAUGAGCCUAGGUCGGAUUAGCUAGUUGGUGGGGUAAAGGCCUACCAAGGCGACGAUCCGUAACUGGUCUGAGAGGAUGAUCAGUCACACUGGAACUGAGACACGGUCCAGACUCCUACGGGAGGCAGCAGUGGGGAAUAUUGGACAAUGGGCGAAAGCCUGAUCCAGCCAUGCCGCGUGUGUGAAGAAGGUCUUCGGAUUGUAAAGCACUUUAAGUUGGGAGGAAGGGCAGUAAGUUAAUACCUUGCUGCUUUGACGUUACCAACAGAAUAAGCACCGGCUAACUUCGUG